UAGAUUGUACACUAUGUGUACAAGCAUGUCAGUGCCUAAAUCAUUACUAUUUUGACAUACCAUAGCUGUAUAAUCUUGAAGAUGGUCACAGUGAGGGAGACAAGUUCUUAUUUUACCAGCAUUAGGUGGACCAGGGUGCGUUGAUAAACUUUAGGGGUGAAAUCAUUACUAUUUUGAUAUACAUUAGCUUUAUAAUCUUGAGGAUGGUCACAGUGAGGGAGGGAAAGUUCUCGUUUUACCAGUGUUAUGUGGACCAGGGUGCGUUGAUACACUUUAUGGGCUAAAUCAUUACUAUUUGGCAAUCCAUAUGUAGCUGUAUAAGCUUGAUGAUAGUCACAGUGAGAGAGGGAAAGUUCUUAUUUCACCAGCGUUAGGUGGACCAGGGUGCAUUUAUACACUUUAGGGGCUAAAACACUACUAUUUGACAAGCAAUAGCUGUAUAAUCUUUAUGAUGGUCACAGUGAGGGAGGAAAAGUUCUUAUUUUACCAGCGUUAGGUGGGCCAGGGUGCAUUGAUACACUUUAUGGGCUAAAUCAUUACUAUUUGACAUGCAUAUUAGCUGUAUAAUCUUGGAGAUGGUCUAGUGAGGGAGGGAAAGUUCUUAUUUUACAAAUGUUAGGUGGACCAGGGUGCGUUGAUACACUUUAAGGCUGAAUCAUUACUAUUUGACAAGCCAUAGCUGUAUAAUCAUGAUCAUUGCCACAGGGAGGGAGGAAAAGUUCCCAUUUUACCAGCAUUAGAUUGUACACUAUGUGUACAAGCACGUCAGUGCCAAAAUCAUUACUAUUUUGACAUACCAUAGCUGUAUAAUCUUGAAGAUGGUAACAGUGAGGGAGGGAAAGUUCUUAUUUUACCAGCGUUAGGUGGACCAGGGUGCGUUGAUACACUUUAGGGGCUAAACCAUUACUAUUUUGACAUACCUUAGCUGUAUAAUCUUAAGGAUGGUCUAGAGAGGGAGGGAAAGUUUUUAUUUCACCACCGUUAGGUGGACCAGGGUGCGUUGAUAAACUUUAGGGGUGAAAUCAUCACUAUUUGGCAAUCCAUAUGUAGCUGUAUAAGCCUGAUGAUAGUCACAGUGAGAGAGGGAAAGUUCUUAUUUUACCAGCGUUACGUGGACCAGGGUGCAUUUAUACACUUUAGGGGCUAAAACACUACUAUUUGACAAGCAAUAGCUGUAUAAUCUUGAUGAUGGUCACAGUGAGGGAG
Long non-coding RNA from Nematostella vectensis (starlet sea anemone), 1206 nucleotides. RefSeq lists it as uncharacterized. The transcript has 2 exons. Lineage: Eukaryota; Metazoa; Cnidaria; Anthozoa; Actiniaria; Edwardsiidae. The record is from RefSeq and is a predicted model, not a curated record.